ACGCUCGACACCUACGGGAGCAGCAGUCGGGAAUAUUGCGCAAUGGAGGAAACUCUGACGCAGUGACGCCGCGUGCAGGAAGAAGGUUUUCGGAUUGUAAACUGCUUUAGACAGGGAAGAAAAAGGACAGUACCUGUAGAAUAAGCUCCGGCUAACUACGUGCCAGCAGCCGCGGUAAUCUGAGCGGGCUGGCAAGGC
This 198-nucleotide ribosomal RNA is filed under the name uncultured bacterium. Its description in RNAcentral is "partial 16S ribosomal RNA". It matches the Rfam family "Bacterial small subunit ribosomal RNA", at positions 328 to 539 of the family's 1533-position model. The record is from RNAcentral.